Rhagoletis pomonella (apple maggot) is the source of this 433-nucleotide long non-coding RNA. RefSeq lists it as uncharacterized. The record is from RefSeq and is a predicted model, not a curated record. The transcript is spliced from 2 exons. NCBI's taxonomy places the organism in Eukaryota, Metazoa, Arthropoda, Insecta, Diptera, Tephritidae.
UUUUAGGCAGUAAAUAUGCAGGCAGGCAGGCGUUUUACCGCACAGCUAUGAGAGGCAUUUUAGUAGACAUAGGGGCUCUUAAGGGCUAAAAGCUGCCGCAGUCGUGACAUAGUAAACUGCUUCGCUCCAAGCAGGUAUCACCAGGGUUCGUUCCAUAAAUAAGUGUUGGCGCAUAGAACCAGUUUAUAAGGCAUAACAUCAAUAUAUAUAUUUUGAACCAGCCGGCAACGAAAAAUUUACUCCAUAUUAAACUCAUGCCAUAACGAUUACUAAAUUUAGUCCUACAGACGCUGUUAAAGUUGUGAAAAAGUCCUCCACCAACUAUGAAGGUGCUAAGUGCUUGCAACUCGCUUUCAUUCAAAGAGAAAAAAUUAACCAAACAAUAAAUGUAUUGAAUUGUUUGCACACCUUCAGCUUUGGUAUGGUACAUACA